GAGAGAUCGGUGCUACUGGAAUCGGGCUUGCUCUUGAUUUCAAUCGGUAUCUCACCCCAUCUAAGCUCUCGGAGAGGUGUCUAAUCCCAAUUGGAGUCGCGUUGAGUGACGGCAAUGAAGGUUGGGUGUGUUCCCCGUAAGGGUAGAGCAUAGACUUUAUGAACAGUGCUGGGACUGUCGCCUCACCAAAAACUCAUCGAUAACUGGUGGCUAUGGUGUGACUUCGGUCACAUCAAGAUCUGCUAUGCAGAGAGCCUCAAUGAGUUGUUUGUUCAACCGCCGGUGUCGAUAAAUCUUAUCUCAAUUAACUUGUUUCUUGAUUCGUGUUAAUACAUUUUGGCACAAUGUAUUAGCUUCAGCGAUGGAUCGGUUGAUUCGCGUAUCGAUGAAAAACGCAGCAAGCUGCGUUAUUUACCACGAAUUGCAGACGCUUAGAGUGGUGAAGUUUUGAACGCACAGCGCCGUUGGGUUUUCCCUUCGGCACGUCUGGCUCAGGGUUGUUUAAAGUACUGCGGUGUUGCUGCGAAAGUAGCAUCAUCGAAUGUCGAACGGCGUUAGUGUUACUACUGGCCCCGUUCUAGUUCCGAAUAUUGGCAACAUGUCUUCUUCGUGAAGACGCCGUGGAGAGUAUAAGUCUGUACCUAUGGAUGUGUCGCGUAUGAAAUAUGAUGCUUCCCAUACAUAGCGAGGAGGUGCUUCUUAUACUAUCUUGCUUAUGCAACCUGAGCUCAGUCGUGAUUACCCGCCGAACUUAAGCAUAUCAUUCAGCGGAGGAAAAGA
RNAcentral lists this ribosomal RNA (780 nucleotides) under Heterorhabditis safricana. RNAcentral describes it as "eukaryotic LSU rRNA". The stretch from base 351 to 500 matches the Rfam family "5.8S ribosomal RNA". The record is from RNAcentral. Lineage: Eukaryota; Metazoa; Nematoda; Chromadorea; Rhabditida; Heterorhabditidae.